This 253-nucleotide ribosomal RNA is filed under the name uncultured bacterium. RNAcentral's name for it is "partial 16S ribosomal RNA". It matches the Rfam family "Bacterial small subunit ribosomal RNA", at positions 524 to 776 of the family's 1533-position model. The record is from RNAcentral.
UACGGGGGGGGCAAGCGUUGUUCGGAAUUACUGGGCGUAAAGGGCUCGUAGGUGGCCAACUAAGUCAGACGUGAAAUCCCUCGGCUUAACCGGGGAACUGCGUCUGAUACUGGAUGGCUUGAGUUUGGGAGAGGGACGCGGAAUUCCAGGUGUAGCGGUGAAAUUCGUAGAUAUCGGGAGGAACACCAGUGGCGAAGGCGGCGACCUGGACAGAUAUUGACGCUGAGGUGCGAAAGCGUGGGGAGCAAACAGG